Molecule: ribosomal RNA, 944 nt
Filed under: Heterosigma akashiwo
Lineage: Eukaryota; Raphidophyceae; Chattonellales; Chattonellaceae
Description: partial Bacterial small subunit ribosomal RNA
Rfam family: Bacterial small subunit ribosomal RNA
Source: RNAcentral
AUCCUGGCUCAGGAUGAACGCUAGCGGCAGGCCUAACACAUGCAAGUCGAACGGUAACAGGAAAGAGCUUGCUCUUUUGCUGACGAGUGGCGCACGGGUGCGUAACGCGUAUACAAUCUACCUUUUACAGGGGGAUAGCCUUUAGAAAUGAAGAAUAAUACCCCAUAGUAAGUAAAUUUCGCAUGGAAAUUACUUUAAAGAUUUAUCGGUAAAAGAUGAGUAUGCGUUCUAUUAGCUAGAUGGUAAGGUAACGGCUUACCAUGGCAACGAUAGAUAGGGGCCCUGAGAGGGGGAUCCCCCACACUGGUACUGAGACACGGACCAGACUCCUACGGGAGGCAGCAGUGAGGAAUAUUGGACAAUGGAGGCAACUCUGAUCCAGCCAUGCCGCGUGCAGGAAGACUGCCCUAUGGGUUGUAAACUGCUUUUAUAUAGGAAGAAACCUUUCCACGUGUGGAGAGCUGACGGUACUAUAAGAAUAAGGAUCGGCUAACUCCGUGCCAGCAGCCGCGGUAAUACGGAGGAUCCAAGCGUUAUCCGGAAUCAUUGGGUUUAAAGGGUCCGUAGGUGGAUAAUUAAGUCAGAGGUGAAAGUUUGCGGCUCAACCGUAAAAUUGCCUUUGAUACUGGUUAUCUUGAAUCAUUGUGAAGUGGUUAGAAUAUGUAGUGUAGCGGUGAAAUGCAUAGAUAUUACAUAGAAUACCAAUUGCGAAGGCAGAUCACUAACAAUGUAUUGACACUGAUGGACGAAAGCGUGGGGAGCGAACGGGAUUAGAUACCCCGGUAGUCCACGCCGUAAACGAUGGUCACUAGCUGUUCGGACUUCGGUCUGAGUGGCUAAGCGAAAGUGAUAAGUGACCCACCUGGGGAGUACGUUCGCAAGAAUGAAACUCAAAGGAAUUGACGGGGGUCCGCACAAGCGGUGGAGCAUGUGGUUUAAUUCGA